Molecule: ribosomal RNA, 759 nt
Filed under: uncultured Alphaproteobacteria bacterium
Lineage: Bacteria; Pseudomonadati; Pseudomonadota; Alphaproteobacteria
Description: bacterial SSU rRNA
Rfam family: Bacterial small subunit ribosomal RNA
Source: RNAcentral
ACGCUGGCGGCAGGCUUAACACAUGCAAGUCGAGCGCCAUUUCGGUGGAGCGGCAGACGGGUGAGUAACGCGUGGGAACGUACCUUUUGGUUCGGAAUAUUCUCGGGAAACUGAGAGCAAUACCGGAUAAGCCCUACGGGGGAAAGAUUUAUCGCCAAUAGAGCGGCCCGCGUUAGAUUAGCUAGUUGGUGGGGUAAAGGCCUACCAAGGCUACGAUCUAUAGCUGGUCUGAGAGGAUGAUCAGCCACAUUGGGACUGAGACACGGGCCCAAACUCCUACGGGAGGCAGCAGUGGGGAAUCUUGGACAAUGGGCGCAAGCCUGAUCCAGCCAUGCCGCGUGGAUGAUGAAGGCCUUCGGGUUGUAAAAUCCUUUCAACGGGGACGAUAAUGACGGUACCCGUAGAAGAAGCCCCGGCUAACUUCGUGCCAGCAGCCGCGGUAAUACGAAGGGGGCUAGCGUUGCUCGGAAUUACUGGGCGUAAAGCGCACGUAGGCGGAUAUUUAAGUCGGAGGUGAAAGCCCAGGGCUCAACCCUGGAACUGCCCUCGAUACUGGGUAUCUGGACCAAAGUAGAGGUUAGUGGAAUUCCGAGUGUAGAGGUGAAAUUCGUAGAUAUUCGGAGGAACACCAGUGGCGAAGGCGACUAACUGGACUUUUGGUGACGCUGAGGUGCGAAAGCGUGGGGAGCAAGCAGGAUUAGAUACCCUGGUAGUCCACGCCGUAAACGAUGAAUGCUAGUUGUCAGCACGCAUGCGUGU